RNAcentral lists this non-coding RNA (21 nucleotides) under Arabidopsis thaliana (thale cress). Lineage: Eukaryota; Viridiplantae; Streptophyta; Magnoliopsida; Brassicales; Brassicaceae. The record is from RNAcentral.
UGGGGUGCGUUGCUCAAAGCC